Molecule: ribosomal RNA, 423 nt
Filed under: uncultured Flavobacterium sp.
Lineage: Bacteria; Pseudomonadati; Bacteroidota; Flavobacteriia; Flavobacteriales; Flavobacteriaceae
Description: bacterial SSU rRNA
Rfam family: Bacterial small subunit ribosomal RNA
Source: RNAcentral
CGACGAGUUUGAUCCUGGCUCAGGAUGAACGCUAGCGGCAGGCUUAACACAUGCAAGUCGAGGGGUAUAGUUCUUCGGAACUAGAGACCGGCGCACGGGUGCGUAACGCGUAUGCAAUCUACCUUUUACAGAGGGAUAGCCCAGAGAAAUUUGGAUUAAUACCUCAUAGUGUGUGAGAAUCGCAUGGUUUUUCACAUUAAAGUUCCAACGGUAAAAGAUGAGCAUGCGUCCCAUUAGCUAGAUGGUAAGGUAACCGGCUUACCAUGGCGACGAUGGGUAGGGGUCCUGAGAGGGAGAUCCCCCCGACACUGGUACUGAGACACGGACCAGACUCCGUACGGGAGGCAGCAGUGAGGAAUAUUGGACAAUGGGGGCGCAAGCCUGAUCCCAGCCCAUCGCCGCGUGCAGGACUGACGGUCCUAU